GACGAACGCUGGCGGCGUGCUUAACACAUGCAAGUCGAACGGAAAGGCCCUGCUUUUGUGGGGUGCUCGAGUGGCGAACGGGUGAGUAACACGUGAGUAACCUGCCCUUGACUUUGGGAUAACUUCAGGAAACUGGGGCUAAUACCGGAUAGGAGCUCCUGCUGCAUGGUGGGGGUUGGAAAGUUUCGGCGGUUGGGGAUGGACUCGCGGCUUAUCAGCUUGUUGGUGGGGUAGUGGCUUACCAAGGCUUUGACGGGUAGCCGGCCUGAGAGGGUGACCGGCCACAUUGGGACUGAGAUACGGCCCAGACUCCUACGGGAGGCAGCAGUGGGGAAUAUUGCACCAUGGGCGGAAGCCUGAUGCAGCAACGCCGCGUGCGGGAUGACGGCCUUCGGGUUGUAAACCGCUUUCGCCUGUGACGAAGCGUGAGUGACGGUAAUGGGUAAAGAAGCACCGGCUAACUACGUGCCAGCAGCCGCGGUGAUACGUAGGGUGCGAGCGUUGUCCGGAUUUAUUGGGCGUAAAGGGCUCGUAGGUGGUUGAUCGCGUCGGAAGUGCAAUCUUGGGGCUUAACCCUGAGCGUGCUUUCGAUACGGGUUGACUUGAGGAAGGUAGGGGAGAAUGGAAUUCCUGGUGGAGCGGUGGAAUGCGCAGAUAUCAGGAGGAACACCAGUGGCGAAGGCGGUUCUCUGGGCCUUUCCUGACGCUGAGGAGCGAAAGCGUGGGGAGCGAACAGGCCUAGAUACCCUGGUAGUCCACGCUGUAAACGGUGGGUACUAGGUGUGGGGUCCAUUCCACGGGUUCCGUGCCGUAGCUAACGCUUUAAGUACCCCGCCUGGGGAGUACGGCCGCAAGGCUAAAACUCAAAGGAAUUGACGGGGCCCCGCACAAGCGGCGGAGCAUGCGGAUUAAUUCGAUGCAACGCGUAGAACCUCACCUGGGUUUGACAUGGAUCGGGAGUGCUCAGAGAUGGGUGUGCCUCUUUUGGGGUCGGUUCACAGGUGGUGCAUGGCUGUCGUCAGCUCGUGUCGUGAGAUGUUGGGUUAAGUCCCGCAACGAGCGCAACCCUUGUUCACUGUUGCCAGCACGUUAUGGUGGGGACUCAGUGGAGACCGCCGGGGUCAACUCGGAGGAAGGUGGGGAUGACGUCAAGUCAUCAUGCCCCUUAUGUCCAGGGCUUCACGCAUGCUACAAUGGCUGGUACAGAGAGUGGCGAGCCUGUGAGGGUGAGCGAAUCUCGGAAAGCCGGUCUCAGUUCGGAUUGGGGUCUGCAACUCGACCUCAUGAAGUCGGAGUCGCUAGUAAUCGCAGAUCAGCAACGCUGCGGUGAAUACGUUCCCGGG
RNAcentral lists this ribosomal RNA (1343 nucleotides) under uncultured bacterium. Its description in RNAcentral is "16S ribosomal RNA". It matches the Rfam family "Bacterial small subunit ribosomal RNA", at positions 28 to 1378 of the family's 1533-position model. The record is from RNAcentral.